RNAcentral lists this ribosomal RNA (1434 nucleotides) under uncultured bacterium. RNAcentral's name for it is "bacterial SSU rRNA". It matches the Rfam family "Bacterial small subunit ribosomal RNA". The record is from RNAcentral.
AGAGUUUGAUCCUGGCUCAGGAUGAACGCCGGCGGUGUGCCUAAUACAUGCAAGUCGUACGCACUGGCCCAACUGAUUGAUGGUGCUUGUACCUGAUUGACGUUGGAUCACCAGUGAGUGGCGGACGGGUGAGUAACACGUAGGUAACCUGCCCCGGAGCGGGGGAUAACAUUUGGAAACAGAUGCUAAUACCGCAUAACAACAAAAGCCACAUGGCUUUUGUUUGAAAGAUGGCUUUGGCUAUCACUCUGGGAUGGACCUGCGGUGCAUUAGCUAGUUGGUAAGGUAACGGCUUACCAAGGCGAUGAUGCAUAGCCGAGUUGAGAGACUGAUCGGCCACAAUGGAACUGAGACACGGUCCAUACUCCUACGGGAGGCAGCAGUAGGGAAUCUUCCACAAUGGGCGCAAGCCUGAUGGAGCAACACCGCGUGAGUGAAGAAGGGUUUCGGCUCGUAAAGCUCUGUUGUUGGAGAAGAACGUGCGUGAGAGUAACUGUUCACGCAGUGACGGUAUCCAACCAGAAAGUCACGGCUAACUACGUGCCAGCAGCCGCGGUAAUACGUAGGUGGCAAGCGUUAUCCGGAUUUAUUGGGCGUAAAGCGAGCGCAGGCGGUUGCUUAGGUCUGAUGUGAAAGCCUUCGGCUUAACCGAAGAAGUGCAUCGGAAACCGGGCGACUUGAGUGCAGAAGAGGACAGUGGAACUCCAUGUGUAGCGGUGGAAUGCGUAGAUAUAUGGAAGAACACCAGUGGCGAAGGCGGCUGUCUGGUCUGCAACUGACGCUGAGGCUCGAAAGCAUGGGUAGCGAACAGGAUUAGAUACCCUGGUAGUCCACGCCGUAAACGAUGAGUGCUAGGUGUUGGAGGGUUUCCGCCCUUCAGUGCCGGAGCUAACGCAUUAAGCACUCCGCCUGGGGAGUACGACCGCAAGGUUGAAACUCAAAGGAAUUGACGGGGGCCCGCACAAGCGGUGGAGCAUGUGGUUUAAUUCGAAGCUACGCGAAGAACCUUACCAGGUCUUGACAUCUUGCGCUAACCUUAGAGAUAAGGCGUUCCCUUCGGGGACGCAAUGACAGGUGGUGCAUGGUCGUCGUCAGCUCGUGUCGUGAGAUGUUGGGUUAAGUCCCGCAACGAGCGCAACCCUUGUUACUAGUUGCCAGCAUUAAGUUGGGCACUCUAGUGAGACUGCCGGUGACAAACCGGAGGAAGGUGGGGACGACGUCAGAUCAUCAUGCCCCUUAUGACCUGGGCUACACACGUGCUACAAUGGACGGUACAACGAGUCGCAAGCUCGCGAGAGUAAGCUAAUCUCUUAAAGCCGUUCUCAGUUCGGACUGUAGGCUGCAACUCGCCUACACGAAGUCGGAAUCGCUAGUAAUCGCGGAUCAGCAUGCCGCGGUGAAUACGUUCCCGGGCCUUGUACACACCGCCCGUCA